CCUACGGGUGGCAGCAGUGGGGAAUAUUGCACAAUGGGGGAAACCCUGAUGCAGCGACGCCGCGUGAGUGAAGAAGUAUCUCGGUACGUAAAGCUCUAUCAGCAGGGAAGUAAAUGACGGUACCUGACUAAGAAGCCACGGCUAACUACGUGCCAGCAGCCGCGGUAAUACGUAGGGGGCAAGCGUUAUCCGGAUUUACUGGGUGUAAAGGGAGCGUAGACGGCAGCAAAAGUCUGGAGUGAAAUCCCGGGGCUUAACCCCGGAACUGCUUUGGAAACUGUGCGGCUGGAGUGCAGGGAGGGUAAGCGGAAUUCCUAGUGUAGCGGUGAAAUGCGUAGAUAUUAGGAGGAACACCGGUGGCGAAGGCGGCUUGCUGGAGUGUAACUGACGUUGAGGCUCGAAAGCGUGGGUAGCGAACAGGAUUAGAUACCCUUGUAGUC
Molecule: ribosomal RNA, 440 nt
Filed under: uncultured bacterium
Lineage: Bacteria
Description: partial 16S ribosomal RNA
Rfam family: Bacterial small subunit ribosomal RNA
Source: RNAcentral